RNAcentral lists this transfer RNA (67 nucleotides) under Rathayibacter rathayi. RNAcentral's name for it is "tRNA_Arg_ACG". It matches the Rfam family "tRNA". From Rfam's summary of the family: Transfer RNA (tRNA) molecules are approximately 80 nucleotides in length. Their secondary structure includes four short double-helical elements and three loops (D, anti-codon, and T loops). Further hydrogen bonds mediate the characteristic L-shaped molecular structure. tRNAs have two regions of fundamental functional importance: the anti-codon, which is responsible for specific mRNA codon recognition, and the 3' end, to which the tRNAs corresponding amino acid is attached (by aminoacyl-tRNA synthetases). tRNAs cope with the degeneracy of the genetic code in two manners: having more than one tRNA (with a specific anti-codon) for a particular amino acid; and 'wobble' base-pairing, i.e. permitting non-standard base-pairing at the 3rd anti-codon position. The record is from RNAcentral. Lineage: Bacteria; Bacillati; Actinomycetota; Actinomycetes; Micrococcales; Microbacteriaceae.
ACGACCGUGGACGCCCCAGCUCUGACUACGGAUCAGAAGGUUGGGGGUUCGAAUCCCUCCGGGCGCA